RNAcentral lists this transfer RNA (73 nucleotides) under Felis catus (domestic cat). It matches the Rfam family "tRNA". From Rfam's summary of the family: Transfer RNA (tRNA) molecules are approximately 80 nucleotides in length. Their secondary structure includes four short double-helical elements and three loops (D, anti-codon, and T loops). Lineage: Eukaryota; Metazoa; Chordata; Mammalia; Carnivora; Felidae. The record is from Rfam by way of RNAcentral.
ACCUGGCUGGCUCAGUCAGUGGAGUGUGAGACUCUCAAUCUUAGGGUUGUGAGUUCGAGUCCCAUGGUGGGUA